CCAAGCCCAGAAAGAGAGAAACUAUCUCUUCUUCAACACAGCCCGAUAGGAUUCACCUUACUCUUCAAUCUCUGAGCAUCUUAAGCAACAAUGGAGUUUCAGGAGGAUGAGUUAGUUGAAUCGUCCUAAAGAAUCUCUGUAUUAAUAUUCGAUUGCGUCGUUAAUUACGUCUUCCUUCUUAUCCUUUCAGAAGUUCUCAUUCAAUAAACUUUUUCAAAAAAAAAAAAGUUCUCAUUCAAUACAUCCUCUACUCUCUUUGGUUCAAAAAAAAAAAGUUCUCAUUGAAUUUACCUCUGUCAAAUUCAUCAUUCCAUUCCUCACAACCAUAAUAAUCUAAAAACUUCGGCAGAUUAGAAUGGCUAAUUCAUCUCUCCUCAUUGCUUAUUUGAAAACCCCGUCGUCCUAGCAGUUCCGCAGAGCCUAGCUAGAGGUUUCUUACUGUUUUUAUGGCUGUGUGGUUUCUUCUCGCUAUCCUACGCUGCAAGGUCCGGCGUAUCUAAGUAGGAGUUUGAAGUCAAGAAGCAUGUGAACAGUCUAAAUAAACCUGUCGUCAAGAGCGUUCAAACCCCAGAUGGCGAUAUAACUGAUUGUGUUCCUACCACAGAGCGACCAGCUUUUGAUCAUCAUUUCCUCAAAGAGGGCAUGAUACAGAUGAAGCAUAUAACUGUCCAGUUUCCUAAAUCUACAGAACCUGAUCUCAUCAACCAAGGUGGUCACCAGCUUAUAUGGAAGGGGAUAAGUACUAUGGAGCUAAAGCAACUAUAAAUGUGUGGGAGCCAAAGAUAGAGCUACGGAACGAGUUUAGCUUCUCGCAAAUAUGGCUUCCCGGUUGCUCAUCCGGAAAUGAUCUUAACAGCAUAGAAGCUGGUUGGCAGGUCCACUCAGUAGGGAAUGUGAAGAUGAUUUAGUUUCUCAUGUUCUGUAUAAGAUUUGUGUUUGCUUUACUACAGGUUAGCCUGUAUAUAUAUGGUGACAAGAGCACAAGGCUCUUCACUUACUGGAGUAUAAGCAACUAUAAUCAAAUUAUUGUUGUUAUGUGCUUAUGUUCCGUUCCUCAUAUACUAACUGGGUGUACCUGCCUAACAGUGAAAAGUGUAAAGUAAUUACAUAAUUAAAAAUGAUUUUUUUCUUAUUAGUUAAACUAUGA
Raphanus sativus (radish) is the source of this 1147-nucleotide long non-coding RNA. RefSeq lists it as uncharacterized. The record is from RefSeq and is a predicted model, not a curated record. The transcript is spliced from 5 exons. Lineage: Eukaryota; Viridiplantae; Streptophyta; Magnoliopsida; Brassicales; Brassicaceae.